This 90-nucleotide transfer RNA is filed under the name Acidobacteriota bacterium. RNAcentral's name for it is "Acidobacteria bacterium (groundwater metagenome) tRNA-Cys". The record is from RNAcentral. Lineage: Bacteria; Pseudomonadati; Acidobacteriota.
GGGGCGGUAGCCAGGUGGUAAGGCACAGGUCUGCAACACCUUUUGGCCCCCGCAACUCCCUUAACUGAUUGAAUUUCCUGGGCGGCUCCA